RNAcentral lists this ribosomal RNA (211 nucleotides) under uncultured bacterium. Its description in RNAcentral is "partial 16S ribosomal RNA". It matches the Rfam family "Bacterial small subunit ribosomal RNA", at positions 568 to 775 of the family's 1533-position model. The record is from RNAcentral.
CGCGCAGGCGGCUUGGCAAGUCGGGUGUGAAAUCCCGGGGCUCAACCCCGUGACUGCAUCCGAUACUGUCAGGCUAGAGGUAGGUAGGGGAGAUCGGAAUUCCUGGUGUAGCGGUGAAAUGCGCAGAUAUCAGGAGGAACACCGGUGGCGAAGGCGGAUCUCUGGGCCUUACCUGACGCUCAGGCGAGAAAGCGUAGGGGGAGACGAACGA